AACGAACGCUGGCGGCAGGCCUAACACAUGCAAGUCGAGCGCGCCCUUCGGGGUGAGCGGCGACCGGGUGAUUAACGCGUGGGAACGUGCCUUUUUUUCGGGAUUAGCCUCGGGAAACUGAGAGUAAUACCUUAUACGCCCUUUGGGGGAAAGAUUUAUCGGAAAAGGAUCGGCCCGCGUUGGAUUAGGUAGUUGGUGGGGUAAUGGCCUACCAAGCCGACGAUCCAUAGCUGGUUUGAGAGGAUGAUCAGCCACACUGGGACUGAGACACGGCCCAGACUCCUACGGGAGGCAGCAGUGGGGAAUCUUAGACAAUGGGGGCAACCCUGAUCUAGCCAUGCCGCGUGAGUGAUGAAGGCCUUAGGGUUGUAAAGCUCUUUCAGCUGGGAAGAUAAUGACGGUACCAGCAGAAGAAGCCCCGGCUAACUCCGUG
Molecule: ribosomal RNA, 433 nt
Filed under: uncultured bacterium
Lineage: Bacteria
Description: partial 16S ribosomal RNA
Rfam family: Bacterial small subunit ribosomal RNA
Source: RNAcentral